GAAGAAGGUGCAAGGCUGCGCGUUGUCAUUUAUAAACUAAUUGUUAGAGUUCUUAGAUUUGUCACAAAGCUUGAUGAUGGCAGCGAGCGCCAAGUUUCCGAACAUGAUGUGGAGUUUGAGGUUAACAUGAAACAUUUUACGGUUGAAAAAUUGAUAGGACUCAUUUGAUCAAAAAUUAUAUGGGGGGUUGGUCAAGAGGUCCAUAUUUUGUGUCAAGAUAAGCACUUUGAAUCAGUUGAGAGGAUUGAUAGCUAUUGGAAGUUGUUGACAGCAUUUCUUGAGAGAUGGGAAGAGAAAGAAUUGCUU
This 306-nucleotide ribosomal RNA is filed under the name Triticum aestivum (bread wheat). Its description in RNAcentral is "partial small subunit ribosomal RNA". Lineage: Eukaryota; Viridiplantae; Streptophyta; Magnoliopsida; Poales; Poaceae. The record is from RNAcentral.